GAAACGUCGCGGCCUUUACGCCAUGUGGCGUGCGGCCAUUGGGACGGGUUUAUCGGAGCGGAUGGGGGUGACGUGGCUCGAUCUGAAGUAGGUGCGUUGAACCGUCGGGCCGACGGACGGCCCGGAUGAUGCCACGCGGCAGGAUCUGGGGAGUCCUCGUUGGUCAUGCCUUCAUCUCGACCGUCGGGGGGUACUAUAUAUACAGGGUCGCCCCCAUUCAGUUUUUUACCCUCCUCAUUUUACUGUCGAGACUCUGCCCGCGUG
This 264-nucleotide long non-coding RNA is filed under the name Elaeis guineensis (African oil palm). RNAcentral's name for it is "long non-coding RNA (EGUI_LNC082850)". Lineage: Eukaryota; Viridiplantae; Streptophyta; Magnoliopsida; Arecales; Arecaceae. The record is from RNAcentral.